Long non-coding RNA from Lacerta agilis (Sand lizard), 313 nucleotides. RefSeq lists it as uncharacterized. The record is from RefSeq and is a predicted model, not a curated record. Lineage: Eukaryota; Metazoa; Chordata; Lepidosauria; Squamata; Lacertidae. The transcript has 2 exons.
CAGGAUGAAAGCUCACAUAACAAUCCUUGCAGGACCCAACAUCAGCUGACAAUGGAGAGCAGGCAGCAAGUAGAGGAUACAGAACAUUACUGAGGCAAGGAGAGAGAAAACAGCAAAAGGAAAAUGGACAAACCCGGUGAUUUCUGAAGGGUAAAUUCACCAGCUUGCGUUCAGGAAAGCCUUUGUGCUUCAUAACGGCACAAAAGAGAGAAAGUGGCAUGGCUCAGGCUUCUCCCACCAAGAGCUAUGUAUGUCCUCAGAUCCUCCACUUUAUACAAACAUUAAAGAUAGAGGUUACUGGUUGUGUAUGAAA